Molecule: RNA transcript, 1594 nt
Organism: Callithrix jacchus (white-tufted-ear marmoset)
Lineage: Eukaryota; Metazoa; Chordata; Mammalia; Primates; Cebidae
Gene name: heterogeneous nuclear ribonucleoproteins C1/C2 pseudogene
Source: RefSeq, a predicted model, not a curated record
UUAAAAAACAGUGAGGCCGAUUUUUGUGAAGAGACGAAGACUAAGCGGUUGUGUCCGCGUUGCCGACCUCCAGCAGCAGUCGGCUUCUGCACGUAGAACCCGGGAGUAGGAGACUCAGAAUCGAAUCUCUUCUCCCUCCUCCCUCCUGUGAGAUUUUUUUGAUCUUCAGCUACAUUUUCGGCUUUGUGACAAACCUUAUCAUCAAACACAAUGGCCAGCAACGUUACCAACAAGACAGAUCCUCGCUCCAUGAACUCCCGUGUGUUCAUUGGGAAUCUCAACACUCUCGUGGUCAAGAAAUCUGAUGUGGAGGCAAUCUUUUCGAAGUAUGGCAAAAUUGUGGGCUGCUCUAUUCAUAAGGGCUUUGCCUUCGUUCAAUAUGUUAAUGAGAGAAAUGCCCGGGCUGCUGUAGCAGGAGAGGAUGGCAGAAUGAUUGCUGGCCAGGUUUUAGAUAUUAACCUGGCUGCAGAGCCAAAAGUGAACCGAGGAAAAGCAGGUGUGAAACGAUCUGCAGCGGAGAUGUACGGCUCCUCUUUUGACUUGGACUAUGACUUUCAACGGGAUUAUUAUGAUAGGAUGUACAGUUACCCAGCACGUGUACCUCCUCCUCCUCCUAUUGCUCGGGCUGUAGUGCCCUCGAAACGUCAGCGUGUAUCAGGAAACACCUCACGAAGGGGCAAAAGUGGCUUCAAUUCUAAGAGUGGACAGCGGGGAUCUUCCAAGAAAGGAGAUGACCUUCAGGCCAUUAAGAAGGAACUGACCCAGAUAAUACAAAAAGUGGAUUCUCUCCUGGAAAACCUGGAAAAAAUUGAAAAGGAACAGAGCAAACGAGCAGCUGGAGUUGAUCAAGGAUGACGAAAAAGAGGCUGAGGAAGGAGAGGAUGACAGAGACAGCGCCAAUGGCGAGGAUGACUCUUAAGCACAUAGUGGGGUUUAGAAAUCUUAUCCCAUUAUUUCUUUACCUAGGUGCUUGUCUAAGAUCAAAUUUUUCACCAGAUCCUCUCCCCUAGUAUCUUCAGCACAUGCUCACUGUUCUCCCCAUCCUUGUCUUUCCCAUGUUCAUUAAUUCAUGUUUCCCUGCGCCUAGUCCCAUUUUCACUUCCUUUUUGACGCUCCUAGUAGUUUUGUUAAGUCUUACCCUGUAAUUUUUGCUUUUAAUUUUGAUACCUCUUUAUGACUUAACAAUAAAAAGGAUGUAUGGUUUUUAUCAACUGUCUCCAAAACAAUCUCUUGUUAUGAAGGGAGUACAGUUCUUUUCAUUCAUACAUGUGUUCAGUGGUUGCUUCCCUAACUGCAAAGACAAUCUCAUUUAGUUGAAUAGCUCCUGAAAGCAGCUUUGAGUUAGAAGUAUGUGUGUUACACCCCAACAUUAGUGUGCUCUGUGGGGCAGUUCAACACAAAUGUAACGAUGUAUUUUUGUGAAUGAGAGUUGGCAUGUCAAAUGCAUCCUCUAGAAAAAUAGUGUUAUAGUCUUAAGAUUUGUUUUCUAAAGUUGAUACUGUGGGUUAUUUUUGUGAACAGCCUGAUGUUUGGGACCUUUUUUCUUCAAAAUAAGUCCUUAUUAAACCAGGAAUUUGGAGAAAAAAAAAAAAAA